AUGCACAGAAGUUACAAACAUUGGAUCAGGCCACACAGCUGCAAACAUUUAUCGAGGGCCACUAUUUGCCCAGGAAGCCCAGAUGAGCAGGAAGACACGCCCUCGGGGCUGGAGAUGUGCACACCUGGGGAAGGAGGUGCACAGCCUGCCUCCUCAGUUCCUCCUCAAAGUCAGCUUUGCUGCAGCCCACCUCCCACCCAGGACCGGCCCCAAGGCCCUUCUAGAUAACCUCGAAAGGAUCUCCGGCACUGAAGUCGAAGGAGAGGAUGAGGUGAACCUCCCGUGUCGGGGGCAGCACGAGUGGGAAGGGAGUGUUGAUGGCUAAACCAGCAUCCACCAGGUGGAGGUGCUUCCGGCUGCUCAUUAUCUUGUCCCGGAUGCCACCUGCAGUGCCAGGAAGAGAGAGGAUCAGCUGUUUCCAGGGGCUGAAAGCAAAACUCGUAAAUGGAAGGC
This 453-nucleotide non-coding RNA is filed under the name Pongo abelii (Sumatran orangutan). The record is from RNAcentral. Lineage: Eukaryota; Metazoa; Chordata; Mammalia; Primates; Hominidae.